CUACGGGGCGCACCAGUGGGGAAUAUUGCACAAUGGGCGCAAGCCUGAUGCAGCCAUGCCGCGUGUAUGAAGAAGGCCUUCGGGUUGUAAAGUACUUUCAGCGGGGAGGAAGGGAGUAAAGUUAAUACCUUUGCUCAUUGACGUUACCCGCAGAAGAAGCACCGGCUAACUCCGUGCUAGCAGCCGCGGUAAUACGGAGGGUGCAAGCGUUAAUCGGAAUUACUGGGCGUAAAGCGCACGCAGGCGGUUUGUUAAGUCAGAGGUGAAAUCCCCGGGCUCAACCUGGGAACUGCAUCUGAUACUGGCAAGCUUGAGUCUCGUAGAGGGGGGUAGAAUUCCAGGUGUAGCGGUGAAAUGCGUAGAGAUCUGGAGGAAUACCGGUGGCGAAGGCGGCCCCCUGGACGAAGACUGACGCUCAGGUGCGAAAGCGUGGGGAGCAAACAGGAUUAGAUACCCGCGUAGUC
This 464-nucleotide ribosomal RNA is filed under the name uncultured bacterium. RNAcentral describes it as "partial 16S ribosomal RNA". It matches the Rfam family "Bacterial small subunit ribosomal RNA", at positions 339 to 795 of the family's 1533-position model. The record is from RNAcentral.